This 302-nucleotide ribosomal RNA is filed under the name uncultured bacterium. RNAcentral describes it as "partial 16S ribosomal RNA". It matches the Rfam family "Bacterial small subunit ribosomal RNA", at positions 508 to 809 of the family's 1533-position model. The record is from RNAcentral.
GCAGUAGCCACGGGAAUACGUAGGUGGCGAGCGUUGUCCGGAAUUAUUGGGCGUAAAGCGCGCGCAGGCGGCCUAUCCAGUCUGUCUUAAAAGUUCGGGGCUCAACCCCGUGAUGGGAAAGAAACUACAUGUCUUGAGUACAGGAGAGGAAAGCGGAAUUCCCAGUGUAGCGGUGAAAUGCGUAGAUAUUGGGAGGAACACCAGUGGCGAAGGCGGCUUCCUGGACUGCAACUGACGCUGAGGCUCGAAAGCCAGGGGAGCGAACGGGAUUAGAUACCCGCGUAGUCCCUGUCUCUUAUACA